AGAGUUUGAUCCUGGCUCAGGAUGAACCCCUAAAGGAAGGCUUAACACAUGCAAGUCGAGGGGCAGCGGAGAGUAGCAAUACUCUGCCGGCGACCGGCGAAAGGGUGCGUAACGCGUGAGCAACUUGCCCGUAUCCGGGACAUAAGCGGUGGAAACGCCGUCUAAUUUCCCAUAACAACGAGGGCCGCAUGACCCAUGUUUGAAAGAUCCGUCGGAUACGGAUGGGCUCGCGAGACAUUAGCUAGUCGGCGUGGUAACGGCACACCGAGGCGACGAUGUCUAGGGGUUCUGAGAGGAAGGUCCCCCACACUGGAACUGAGACACGGUCCAGACUCCUACGGGAGGCAGCAGUGAGGAAUAUUGGUCAAUGGGCGCAAGCCUGAACCAGCCAUGCCGCGUGAAGGAAUAAGGCCCUAUGGGUCGUAAACUUCUUUUGUGGUGGAGCAAUAAGGUGCACGUGUGCAUCGAUGAGAGUACAUCACGAAUAAGCAUCGGCUAACUCCGUGCCAGCAGCCGCGGUAAUACGGAGGAUGCAAGCGUUAUCCGGAUUUAUUGGGUUUAAAGGGUGCGUAGGCUGUUCGACAAGUCAGGGGUGAAAGCCCAGUGCCUAACACUGGAACUGCCUUUGAUACUGCCGAGCUGGAAUACGGAUGCCGUGGGAGGAAUGAGUAGUGUAGCGGUGAAAUGCAUAGAUAUUACUCAGAACACCGAUUGCGAAGGCAUCUCACGAAUCCGUCAUUGACGCUGAGGCACGAAAGCGUGGGGAUCAAACAGGAUUAGAUACCCUGGUAGUCCACGCAGUAAACGAUGAUAACUAACCGUUCGGGCGAUACACAGUCGGUGGCCAAGCGAAAGCGAUAAGUUAUCCACCUGGGGAGUACGUUCGCAAGAAUGAAACUCAAAGGAAUUGACGGGGGCCCGCACAAGCGGAGGAACAUGUGGUUUAAUUCGAUGAUACGCGAGGAACCUUACCCGGGCUCGAACGGCAAGUGAAGGAUCAAGAGAUUGUGACGCCCUUCGGGGCACUUGUCGAGGUGCUGCAUGGUUGUCGUCAGCUCGUGUCGUGAGAUGUUGGCUUAAGUGCCAUAACGAGCGCAACCCUUGUCGCCAGUUACCAGCAAGUCAUGUUGGGGACUCUGGCGAGACUGCCACCGCAAGGUGUGAGGAAGGCGGGGAUGACGUCAAAUCAGCACGGCCCUUACGUCCGGGGCGACACACGUGUUACAAUGGCAACUACAGAGGGAAGCCACCUGGUGACAGGGAGCAGAUCUCGAAAAGUUGUCUCAGUUCGGAUUGGAGUCUGCAACUCGACUCCAUGAAGCUGGAUUCGCUAGUAAUCGCGCAUCAGCCAUGGCGCGGUGAAUACGUUCCCGGGCCUUGUACACACCGCCCGUCAAGCCAUGAAAGCCGGGGGUGCCUGAAGUCCGUGACCGAAAGGAGCGGCCUAGGGCAAGAAUGGUAAUUGGGGCUAAGUCGUAACAAGGUAGCCGUACCGGAAGGUGUGGCUGGAUCACCUCCUUUCU
RNAcentral lists this ribosomal RNA (1523 nucleotides) under uncultured rumen bacterium. Its description in RNAcentral is "bacterial SSU rRNA". It matches the Rfam family "Bacterial small subunit ribosomal RNA". The record is from RNAcentral.